UAACACGUGGGCAACCUGCCCUGCAGAUCGGGAUANCUCCGGGAAACCGGUGCUAAUACCGAAUAGUUUGCGGCCUCUCCUGAGGCUGCACGGAAAGACGGUUUCGGCUGUCACUGCAGGAUGGGCCCGCGGCGCAUUAGCUAGUUGGUGGGGUAAUGGCCUACCAAGGCGACGAUGCGUAGCCGACCUGAGAGGGUGAUCGGCCACACUGGGACUGAGACACGGCCCAGACUCCUACGGGAGGCAGCAGUAGGGAAUCUUCCGCAAUGGACGAAAGUCUGACGGAGCAACGCCGCGUGAGUGACGAAGGUUUUCGGAUCGUAAAACUCUGUUGUGAGGGAAGAACAAGUACCAACUAACUACUGGUACCUUGACGGUACCUCACCAGAAAGCCACGGCUAACUACGUGCCAGCAGCCGCGGUAAUACGUAGGUGGCAAGCGUUGUCCGGAAUUAUUGGGCGUAAAGCGCGCGCAGGCGGUUCUUUAAGUCUGAUGUGAAAGCCCACGGCUCAACCGUGGAGGGUCAUUGGAAACUGGAGAACUUGAGUGCAGAAGAGGAAAGUGGAAUUCCAUGUGUAGCGGUGAAAUGCGUAGAGAUGUGGAGGAACACCAGUGGCGAAGGCGACUUUCUGGUCUGUAACUG
This 644-nucleotide ribosomal RNA is filed under the name Planococcus sp. CY-C3-6. RNAcentral describes it as "bacterial SSU rRNA". It matches the Rfam family "Bacterial small subunit ribosomal RNA", at positions 111 to 742 of the family's 1533-position model. The record is from RNAcentral. Lineage: Bacteria; Bacillati; Bacillota; Bacilli; Caryophanales; Caryophanaceae.